RNAcentral lists this ribosomal RNA (408 nucleotides) under uncultured bacterium. RNAcentral describes it as "partial 16S ribosomal RNA". It matches the Rfam family "Bacterial small subunit ribosomal RNA", at positions 28 to 526 of the family's 1533-position model. The record is from RNAcentral.
GACGAACGCUGGCGGCGUGCUUAACACAUGCAAGUCGAACGAAGUGGCGAACGGGUGAGUAACGCGUCAGCAACCUGCCCUUCAGGGGGGGAAAACAGUUGGAAACGACUGCUAAAACCGAAUACUGACGGAGGGGAGUGCGUCGGAUAAGCUAGUUGGAGGGGUAACGGCCCACCAAGGCGAUGAUCAGUAGCGGGUCUGAGAGGAUGAUCCGCCACACUGGGACUGAGACACGGCCCAGACUCCUACGGGAGGCAGCAGUGGGGAAUUUUGGACAAUGGGCGCAAGCCUGAUCCAGCCAUGCCGCGUGUCUGAAGAAGGCCUUCGGGUUGUAAAGUACUUUUGUUAGGGAAGCGGUACCUACAGAAUAAGCACCGGCUAACUACGUGCCAGCAGCCGCGGUAAUUC